Molecule: long non-coding RNA, 1255 nt
Organism: Drosophila biarmipes
Lineage: Eukaryota; Metazoa; Arthropoda; Insecta; Diptera; Drosophilidae
Exons: 3
Source: RefSeq, a predicted model, not a curated record
UAGAUAUUACUGCCUUACAGUUAAGAAUAUUUUAGAAAUACAAAACUUGUUUUUAUCAAGUAAAUGGAUUGGUAGACCAGUGUAAUGAUUUAAGUGCAGCCAAAUAAAGCAACUAGUUAACGGAAACCGUAUUUCAAGUUCCCUUUUUCCCCACCCAGGAGCCUAACCCUCCUAAUGGCCAAAAUCAUUUAGCCUUCAUUUUCAAUUACCCGGCGUAACGAAGCGCCGAAAGCAUUUAUCAAAAUGCCAAACUAGAUAACUUAAUUAAAGCCCCAAAAUCAAUCUGCAUAUAUAUGGGGCCUGACAAAAUCAAAAUCUGUGGAGCACCAGCCCUCCGCCCACCGCCCAUUACCAUACCCAUCCACCCCGUAAACAAUGGAAAGCAGCAACAUCCGCUUAUCGCGAUAAAUCAAAGCCACGAGUGUUGUUAAUUUUCCAAGAAUAUUUUCGGUUAUACAAAGUUUUCGGGGAUAAAGGCGAAAAACGUGCGUGAAUGUGCGUGGUGGUAAUAAAAACAACUUGAAUUUAUGUUUUCACGGCGCGGAAAAAGAUGAUCUUCAGCCAGAAAGGGGAGUUGGAAACUUCUGCCCACUUUGGGGGCCAACAACAUGCCAGUCAUGUCAGCAGCAAAAGCGACUAAGGGGAAGUCUGCAGCACACUCAAGCAGAAAAUUAUCAACUCCGCGGAGAGAUCCGCAGAUGAAGAUAUGGGGAGUCAACUAAACUUCUGCUUGGCUAGACCAAAAGAUGUUCCUUGAAUGCCGCAAAGCAGGAGAGGCAGAAAAAAUGGCAGGGGAAAAAUGAGCUUGCCCCUGCCACCGCAGGCCAAAAUUAAAUUGUGCACAUUUCCGAGGAGCGGAAAUUGCCCAAGUUUGUCACUCGGAAUGAGUACAUACAGAAAUUCUGGGCUGUAUAUAAUGGAAUCAGCCAAAAGAGCGUUCGCCAUUCAGCUCGUUAAAUCUCUUUUAGAAUCGCAUACACCCUGAUCCGUGAAGUCAACAAAUUGUUAGAAACCCGCUAGCGGCCUGGGGCCUUUGGGCCUCUCAUCAUCAGAUCAAUGGGGCUGGAGCACACAUGGAUCCAUCGGCUCACACACACGGGGUGCCCUCAACAAAGGCGGCCAAAUGACAACCUCAGGUUCUAUUCUCUCCCUAUAUAUAGAAAUGUAUAAGUAUGUGACGGGGACGUUUGAAGGGUCUGGUGGGUUACUGUGGGGAUGCGCCGUUACUGCUGCUGCCCGGCGGCAAAGUACAAUA